AUUGAACGCUGGCGGCAGGCCUAACACAUGCAAGUCGAACGGUAACAGGAAGAAGCUUGCUUCUUUGCUGACGAGUGGCGGACGGGUGAGUAAUGUCUGGGAAACUGCCUGAUGGAGGGGGAUAACUACUGGAAACGGUAGCUAAUACCGCAUAACGUCGCAAAACCAAAGAGGGGGACCUUCGGGCCUCUUGCCAUCGGAUGUGCCCAGAUGGGAUUAGCUAGUAGGUGGGGUAACGGCUCACCUAGGCGACGAUCCCUAGCUGGUCUGAGAGGAUGACCAGCCACACUGGAACUGAGACACGGUCCAGACUCCUACGGGAGGCAGCAGUGGGGAAUAUUGCACAAUGGGCGCAAGCCUGAUGCAGCCAUGCCGCGUGUAUGAAGAAGGCCUUCGGGUUGUAAAGUACUUUCAGCGGGGAGGAAGGGAGUAAAGUUAAUACCUUGGCUCAUUGACGUUACCCGCAGAAGAAGCACCGGCUAACUCCGUG
RNAcentral lists this ribosomal RNA (490 nucleotides) under uncultured bacterium. RNAcentral describes it as "partial 16S ribosomal RNA". It matches the Rfam family "Bacterial small subunit ribosomal RNA", at positions 30 to 507 of the family's 1533-position model. The record is from RNAcentral.